Molecule: ribosomal RNA, 585 nt
Filed under: Streptomyces sp.
Lineage: Bacteria; Bacillati; Actinomycetota; Actinomycetes; Kitasatosporales; Streptomycetaceae
Description: bacterial SSU rRNA
Rfam family: Bacterial small subunit ribosomal RNA
Source: RNAcentral
UAGCUUGUUGGUGGGGUGAUGGCCUACCAAGGCGACGACGGGUAGCCGGCCUGAGAGGGCGACCGGCCACACUGGGACUGAGACACGGCCCAGACUCCUACGGGAGGCAGCAGUGGGGAAUAUUGCACAAUGGGCGAAAGCCUGAUGCAGCGACGCCGCGUGAGGGAUGACGGCCUUCGGGUUGUAAACCUCUUUCAGCAGGGAAGAAGCGAGAGUGACGGUACCUGCAGAAGAAGCGCCGGCUAACUACGUGCCAGCAGCCGCGGUAAUACGUAGGGCGCAAGCGUUGUCCGGAAUUAUUGGGCGUAAAGAGCUCGUAGGCGGCUUGUCACGUCGGAUGUGAAAGCCCGGGGCUUAACCCCGGGUCUGCAUUCGAUACGGGCAGGCUAGAGUUCGGUAGGGGAGAUCGGAAUUCCUGGUGUAGCGGUGAAAUGCGCAGAUAUCAGGAGGAACACCGGUGGCGAAGGCGGAUCUCUGGGCCGAUACUGACGCUGAGGAGCGAAAGCGUGGGGAGCGAACAGGAUUAGAUACCCUGGUAGUCCACGCCGUAAACGUUGGGAACUAGGUGUGGGCGACAUCCACUUC